This 253-nucleotide ribosomal RNA is filed under the name uncultured bacterium. RNAcentral's name for it is "partial 16S ribosomal RNA". It matches the Rfam family "Bacterial small subunit ribosomal RNA", at positions 524 to 776 of the family's 1533-position model. The record is from RNAcentral.
UACGGGGGGAGCAAGCGUUAUUCGGAUUCACUGGGCGUAAAGGGUGCGCAGGCGGCCAAGUGUGUGAGGCGUGAAAGCCCGGGGCUUAACCCCGGAAUUGCACCUCAAACUACAUGGCUAGAGCAUUGGAGAGGGUAGCAGAAUUCACGGUGUAGCAGUGAAAUGCGUAGAUAUCGUGAGGAAUACCAGAGGCGAAGGCGGCUACCUGGACAAUUGCUGACGCUCAGGCACGAAAGCGUGGGGAGCAAAAGGG